UUUUUGUGUCGCGCUGCUUUGCUUUAUUCUUGGCCAGGUCUCAGUUGUAACUGAGAACUUGUUCUCAACUGGCCUACCUGGUUAAAUAAAGUUUGUAAUGGGCACAACCGAGGUGGAGGAGAAUGAGACAGCCAAGAAAAGACCCUUCCAAGUGGAAAGGUUCAGAAGAGGAUGAGGAUGUAAGGGGAAAUCCAGUCUCGUCUAGAAGGGAUACAGCAUUUGUCAAACAUUUACUUUUCGUAGCAGGUUAGGAGGAGUUGGUUAAGGUUAGGAAAAGGGUUAGGGUUAGGGUUAGCUAAAAUACAGGGUUAGGGUUAGCUAAAAUACAGGGUUAGCUAAAAUACAGGGUUAGUGUUAGCUAAAAUACAGGGUUAGCUCAAAUACAGGGUUAGGGUUAGCUAAAAUACAGGGUUAGGGUUAGCUAAAAUACAGGGUUAGGGUUAGCUAAAAUACAGGGUUAGGGUUAGCUAAAAUACAGGGUUAGGGUUAGCUAAAAUACAGGGUUAGGGUUAGCUAAAAUACAGGGUUAGGGUUAACUAAAAUUUAGGGUUAGCUAAAAUACAGGGUUACGGUUAGCUAAAAUACAUGGCUAGGGUUAGCUAAAAUUUAGGGUUAGCUAAAAUACAAAAAAAAUCUACUUUCGAUGCCAAUUUAACAAAAGCUGCAUCCCUUCUAGACAUGACCGAUAAAUCCUUCCUCGGCAGGAAAAAGAUGAUUGAGUUGGCUAUGGCAAUUGAUAUCUGCACUGUUUGACUAUUUAUUACUUACAUGAUUCUUACCUGAAUAACCUACCUUGAUAUUUAAUUCCAUGCUGAAAUCUGUCUGAUUUGCAUACUAGUAACAUGAUUGAUAGUGAAAUGUAGAUAUUGAUAGUUGUUUGACUGAUCCACUUACCUGAUCGUUCUCGAUAUUUCAGUGUGAGUGAAAAAUAAAACCUUACACUUGGUGUAAAUAUUUUUGGUACAUAUUCACCAUCACAUGUACUGAAAAUGAUAUUGUGAAAUAAAAUGUCAUUAAUGCCA
Salmo salar (Atlantic salmon) is the source of this 1022-nucleotide non-coding RNA. The record is from RefSeq and is a predicted model, not a curated record. NCBI's taxonomy places the organism in Eukaryota, Metazoa, Chordata, Actinopteri, Salmoniformes, Salmonidae.